CCCGCACAAGCGGUGGAGCAUGUGGUUUAAUUCGACGCAACGCGAAGAACCUUACCAGGGCUUGACAUCCCCUGACCGCGUAUGAAGUACGUUUUCACCCUCGGGUGACAGGGAGACAGGUGGUGCAUGGUUGUCGUCAGCUCGUGUCGUGAGAUGUUGGGUUAAGUCCCGCAACGAGCGCAACCCCUAUUGUUAGUUGCCAUCAUUCAGUUGGGCACUCUAGCGAGACUGCCGGUAAUAACCGGAGGAAGUGGGGAUGACGUCAAAUCAUCAUGCCCCUUAUGACCUGGGCUACACACGUGCUACAAUGGUUGGUACAACGAGUUGCGAGUCGGUGACGGCGAGCUAAUCUCUUAAAGCCAAUCUCAGUUCGGAUUGUAGGCUGCAACUCGCCUACAUGAAGUCGGAAUCGCUAGUAAUCGCGGAUCAGCACGCCGCGGUGAAUACGUUCCCGGGCCUU
Molecule: ribosomal RNA, 460 nt
Filed under: uncultured Streptococcus sp.
Lineage: Bacteria; Bacillati; Bacillota; Bacilli; Lactobacillales; Streptococcaceae
Description: bacterial SSU rRNA
Rfam family: Bacterial small subunit ribosomal RNA
Source: RNAcentral